This 253-nucleotide ribosomal RNA is filed under the name uncultured bacterium. RNAcentral describes it as "partial 16S ribosomal RNA". It matches the Rfam family "Bacterial small subunit ribosomal RNA", at positions 524 to 776 of the family's 1533-position model. The record is from RNAcentral.
UACGGAGGAUGCAAGCGUUAUCCGGAAUGAUUGGGCGUAAAGCGUCCGCAGGUGGCUGUGUAAGUCUGCUGUCAAAGAGCAAAGCUCAACUUUGUAAAGGCAGUGGAAACUACACGGCUAGAGUGCGUUCGGGGCAGAGGGAAUUCCUGGUGUAGCGGUGAAAUGCGUAGAGAUCAGGAAGAACACCGGUGGCGAAGGCGCUCUGCUGGACCAUAACUGACACUCAGGGACGAAAGCUAGGGGAGCGAACAGG